This is a long non-coding RNA of Daphnia carinata, 832 nucleotides long. RefSeq lists it as uncharacterized. NCBI's taxonomy places the organism in Eukaryota, Metazoa, Arthropoda, Branchiopoda, Diplostraca, Daphniidae. The record is from RefSeq and is a predicted model, not a curated record. The transcript is spliced from 5 exons.
GUCGUUCGCAACGUAGGUUGUUGGAAAUUUGUUUGCUGAGCGGGAAUAAAUGGCGGGUUUUCUGAAACAGUAGUCCCAAUUAUGGAGCAACAUCAAAGGAAAUGAUUGAAAUGCACGUAAAUAAUAUCAUCGACGCCACUUGUGCUUCAUUUUCGUCUACGGUAACAUGUCACGUGACGCAUUUAAUUGGUUUACGGAUGUGCUUUGUGGUAGAUAAUCCGAAGAAAUGUAUUUUCACAUCUCAUUCCUGGUAUAUUGAAGCACAAAACUAUGAUUAGCCCAAGCAGAAACAAUGGUGCUAUCAGAAGAUGAAAUUUUAACGUUAUUAGUGACAGAGCCAUAGCAUGAAGAUUCUUGCCCAAGAUCGAAAAAAAUGAGGUAUCAUUAAGCAUAUUACCUUCCAAGUACUGUAAAAUGUGCUAUUGUGUUGUAUGAUAACUGCUAAAUGUUUUCCACUUUAUUUGUUCUACCACCACGGUAGCUUAUCAUUUGGAAUAAAAAAUUUGGUCAGACAAGUUUGACCGAGAGUUAAUACCUUCCUGAAAUAGUCUCUAUUCGAGCAAGCAUGAUAAUGAGACUGGUGAAAAUAUCUACAGGGGGACUUGGACUACCAUCUGGUAGUAAUAAUGAAUUACCUACAAUGGACUUGUAGUUUGCCAUGAUAGUGGUUUCUUUAUAAUAAUAGGAUGUUGAAGAGACCAAAGAAAAGCAUUCAGUAAGGGAAAGUAAACUAUAACCCACUUCAAGUCUGCCUACCCCAACAGUGAUGCAUCUUCUGAUGGGCUACAACAUUUAGCAGCUGCCAUCCAAAAACUUUGGUACAAGUUUUUCC